GAUGAACGCUGGCGGCGUGCCUAAUACAUGCAAGUCGAGCGAAUGGAUUGAGAGCUUGCUCUCAAGAAGUUAGCGGCGGACGGGUGAGUAACACGUGGGUAACCUGCCCAUAAGACUGGGAUAACUCCGGGAAACCGGGGCUAAUACCGGAUAACAUAUUGAACCGCAUGGUUCGAAAUUGAAAGGCGGCUUCGGCUGUCACUUAUGGAUGGACCCGCGUCGCAUUAGCUAGUUGGUGAGGUAACGGCUCACCAAGGCAACGAUGCGUAGCCGACCUGAGAGGGUGAUCGGCCACACUGGGACUGAGACACGGCCCAGACUCCUACGGGAGGCAGCAGUAGGGAAUCUUCCGCAAUGGACGAAAGUCUGACGGAGCAACGCCGCGUGAGUGAUGAAGGCUUUCGGGUCGUAAAACUCUGUUGUUAGGGAAGAACAAGUGCUAGUUGAAUAAGCUGGCACCUUGACGGUACCUAACCAGAAAGCCACGGCUAACUACGUGCCAGCAGCCGCGGUAA
This 515-nucleotide ribosomal RNA is filed under the name uncultured bacterium. Its description in RNAcentral is "partial 16S ribosomal RNA". It matches the Rfam family "Bacterial small subunit ribosomal RNA", at positions 28 to 523 of the family's 1533-position model. The record is from RNAcentral.